RNAcentral lists this ribosomal RNA (98 nucleotides) under uncultured bacterium. RNAcentral's name for it is "partial 16S ribosomal RNA". The record is from RNAcentral.
CUCCUUGCACACACCGCCCGUCGUUCCAUCCGAGCGACUCUUGGGUGAGGCGUGGUCCUUAAGUGGCUGUGUCGAAUCCAGGUUUCGUGAGGAGGGAA